RNAcentral lists this ribosomal RNA (301 nucleotides) under uncultured bacterium. RNAcentral describes it as "partial 16S ribosomal RNA". It matches the Rfam family "Bacterial small subunit ribosomal RNA", at positions 509 to 809 of the family's 1533-position model. The record is from RNAcentral.
CAGUAGCCGCGGGAAUACGUAGGUGGCAAGCGUGGUCCGGAAUUAUUGGGCGUAAAGGGCUCGCAGGCGGUUUCUUAAGUCUGAUGUGAAAGCCCCCGGCUCAACCGGGGAGGGUCAUUGGAAACUGGGAAACUUGAGUGCAGAAGAGGAGAGUGGAAUUCCACGUGUAGCGGUGAAAUGCGUAGAGAUGUGGAGGAACGCCAGUGGCGAAGGCGACUCUCUGGUCUGUAACUGACGCUGAGGAGCGAAAGCGUGGGGAGCGAACAGGAUUAGAUACCCCAGUAGUCCCUGUCUCUUAUAU